GACGAACGCUGGCGGCGUGCUUAACACAUGCAAGUCGAACGGUGAUGCUCCAGCUUGCUGGUGUGGAUCAGUGGCGAACGGGUGAGUAACACGUGAGCAACCUGCCCCAGACUCUGGAAUAAGCGCUGGAAACGGCGUCUAAUACUGGAUACGAAACUGGCCCGCAUGGGCAUGGUUUGGAAAGUUUUUCGGUUUGGGAUGGGCUCGCGGCCUAUCAGCUUGUUGGUGAGGUAAUGGCUCACCAAGGCGACGACGGGUAGCCGGCCUGAGAGGGCGACCGGCCACACUGGGACUGAGACACGGCCCAGACUCCUACGGGAGGCAGCAGUGGGGAAUAUUGCACAAUGGGCGAAAGCCGGAUGCAGCGACGCCGCGUGAGGGAUGACGGCCUUCGGGUUGUAAACCUCUUUCAGCAGGGAAGAAGCGAAAGUGACGGUACCUGCAGAAGAAGCACCGGCUAACUACGUG
RNAcentral lists this ribosomal RNA (468 nucleotides) under uncultured bacterium. RNAcentral's name for it is "partial 16S ribosomal RNA". It matches the Rfam family "Bacterial small subunit ribosomal RNA", at positions 28 to 507 of the family's 1533-position model. The record is from RNAcentral.